Molecule: small RNA, 153 nt
Filed under: uncultured Bacteroides sp.
Lineage: Bacteria; Pseudomonadati; Bacteroidota; Bacteroidia; Bacteroidales; Bacteroidaceae
Description: Bacteroides sRNA BTnc231
Rfam family: Bacteroides sRNA BTnc231
About the family: An uncharacterized small RNA discovered in Bacteroides thetaiotaomicron
Source: RNAcentral
ACGUUUUUUUCAUAGAGAUUUAGAUUUAAGGUUAGAAGAAUUGUGGAAGUCGUGAGACUUCCCUUUUUUAUUCUUAACCUUACGCAUAUUUACCUGUUUUUCUUUUUCAAGGGAAUAUGCAUGAAAAGCCCAUUCGUGAGAAAGGGCUUUUUU